CUGGUGCAGAGGAAUAUACCUGCUGAACAGCUUGCAGGAACAAAACACCCAGAGAGCAACAAAUGAAACAGAUUCGAAAGGCGCAGAGAACAAUAAAGAGUUAAAUGACUCAUGGGACCACCCAGCAUGACGGGUACAAGAAGGACACUGGGAUGCCCGAUCUAUCCUGUGCUGCUUCUCCAGAGGACUCAGAGGUGGUGAGACUGGAGGCUAACAUUUGAAGGAACACUGAAGAAUGAAAUUUUGGAAGAAGUUACCUCUGCCUCAAAGCCCUCUCGCUGCCUGGCUUGGUGCUAAGCCUCUGCUCAGGUUUCUGGCAGAGCAUCAGGGGAACUUCUGCCUUGCUCUGCAGACUCUCUGCACUUCCGCUGCUGCUGACUCACAGCUUUCUAUAUUGCUAGGCUGAAAGUCCUAAAAUUCAGUA
Molecule: long non-coding RNA, 424 nt
Organism: Rhea pennata
Lineage: Eukaryota; Metazoa; Chordata; Aves; Rheiformes; Rheidae
Exons: 4
Source: RefSeq, a predicted model, not a curated record